RNAcentral lists this ribosomal RNA (671 nucleotides) under Salmonella enterica subsp. enterica serovar Infantis. Its description in RNAcentral is "partial 23S ribosomal RNA". It matches the Rfam family "Bacterial large subunit ribosomal RNA", at positions 2132 to 2802 of the family's 2925-position model. Lineage: Bacteria; Pseudomonadati; Pseudomonadota; Gammaproteobacteria; Enterobacterales; Enterobacteriaceae. RNAcentral also lists the same sequence under 1 other name. The record is from RNAcentral.
UGAUGUGUAGGAUAGGUGGGAGGCUUUGAAGCGUGGACGCCAGUCUGCGUGGAGCCGACCUUGAAAUACCACCCUUUAAUGUUUGAUGUUCUAACGUGGAUCCGUAAUCCGGGUUGCGGACAGUGUCUGGUGGGUAGUUUGACUGGGGCGGUCUCCUCCUAAAGAGUAACGGAGGAGCACGAAGGUUGGCUAAUCCUGGUCGGACAUCAGGAGGUUAGUGCAAUGGCAUAAGCCAGCUUGACUGCGAGCGUGACGGCGCGAGCAGGUGCGAAAGCAGGUCAUAGUGAUCCGGUGGUUCUGAAUGGAAGGGCCAUCGCUCAACGGAUAAAAGGUACUCCGGGGAUAACAGGCUGAUACCGCCCAAGAGUUCAUAUCGACGGCGGUGUUUGGCACCUCGAUGUCGGCUCAUCACAUCCUGGGGCUGAAGUAGGUCCCAAGGGUAUGGCUGUUCGCCAUUUAAAGUGGUACGCGAGCUGGGUUUAGAACGUCGUGAGACAGUUCGGUCCCUAUCUGCCGUGGGCGCUGGAGAACUGAGGGGGGCUGCUCCUAGUACGAGAGGACCGGAGUGGACGCAUCACUGGUGUUCGGGUUGUCAUGCCAAUGGCACUGCCCGGUAGCUAAAUGCGGAAGAGAUAAGUGCUGAAAGCAUCUAAGCACGAAACUUGCCCCGA